This 253-nucleotide ribosomal RNA is filed under the name uncultured bacterium. RNAcentral describes it as "partial 16S ribosomal RNA". It matches the Rfam family "Bacterial small subunit ribosomal RNA", at positions 524 to 776 of the family's 1533-position model. The record is from RNAcentral.
UACGGGGGGGGCAAGCGUUGUUCGGAAUUACUGGGCGUAAAGCGCGCGUAGGCGGCUUUGCAAGUCGGGUGUGAAAUCCCCAGGCUUAACCUGGGAACUGCAUUUGAAACUGGCGGGCUUGAGUGUGGCAGAGGGGGGUGGAAUUCCGCGUGUAGCAGUGAAAUGCGUAGAGAUGCGGAGGAACACCGAUGGCGAAGGCAGCCCCCUGGGCCAACACUGACGCUCAGGCACGAAAGCGUGGGGAGCAAACAGG